This 324-nucleotide ribosomal RNA is filed under the name uncultured eukaryote. RNAcentral's name for it is "partial 18S ribosomal RNA". It matches the Rfam family "Eukaryotic small subunit ribosomal RNA", at positions 1470 to 1796 of the family's 1831-position model. The record is from RNAcentral.
CCCUUAGAUGUCCUGGGCUGCACGCGCGCUACACUGAUGUGUCCAGUAAGCACCUAACCUCUUCCGAAAGGAACGGGUAACCUUUGCAAAGCACAUCGUGAUGGGGAUAGAUUAUUGCAAUUAUUAGUCUUGAACGAGGAAUUCCUAGUAAGCCCAAGUCAUCAGCUUGUGUUGAUUACGUCCCUGCCCUUUGUACACACCGCCCGUCGCUCCUACCGAUUGAAUGUUCCGGUGAGCUCUUCGGACUGCGCGGUCUGCAGUUUCUGCGUUCCGUGCGGAAAGUUGCGCAAACCUUAACAUUUAGAGGAAGGAGAAGUCGUAACA